GAUUGUGUAUAGAUAAAUGACAGCGCGCAUGUUCUCUAACGUUUCCCUAUUACACGCUUGCUAUUGCGAUCUUCGUGUUAACGCGAUAAGAAUGUCGAAACUUGUAGAAAGUUUCGGAAGUUUACAGUGUUACGGAAAAUCUCUGAGAUCAUUCGAAUGAUUUGAAAGAAUUAUCUCUCUUCAAAAUAGCAGUGACAUCCGUCGAAAUGAAGAUGAUUUGCGGAAAUAAAAAUAUAGUAGCAGCAGAUACACUCGAUUGAAAAUAUCUUAUCAGUUAGCUUUAACUACUUCUAUGAUAUAUGUACAUAUCCGGAAAACUACUCAGAAGAAAUACGAGCAAACGAUUAUCGCGUUCUGCGUAUCAUAUGUGUCUUAAUCGUAAAAAUAUUUUUCCAAGCUCUACGAGACGUGGGGGUCAAACUACAACGAACGCGUACGAAAGAUCAAUGUUUGCCAGUGAACUAACUAUGUUCGACUUACCUCGACAAUUGAUCAAUCUCUACUAGCACAGCCGACGUAACGCGCGCUGCUCAUGAAGAGUAUUUAUAGAGAUGGACAUUGAACAUUAACCAAAACGACAUUGUAACGUUUGGUGCAUCGGUUCACAAUGCGAAACUCGACGCGCAUUUUUAAAGGCGCCACGGUGGACUCUCUAAAAAAAGAUGUUUAUAAUAAGAUCCUGCAUAUACCUAAUAGAUGAAUCACGACUCUCUGCUGUAUUAAAAGCCUCCAUUCGUUGUUAGGUAUUUUCUCGUGGAAUUUCAACCCGUUCGGUACGCCGCAAUGGCUAUCCGACUUCGUUUGUCCUUCGCUCGCGACGCGAAUAAAUUCGUUGGAUCGCGGAACAACAGGUAGAGGCUCGUUAAAAUGUACAUCGUGGCUGAUGGUUUUAUUAAAUUAGCGACGAACGGUUUCUUCGUCGAUUCGAUUUAAAAGCAGAUGCAACAACACGCGCUGGCCGCAGUCGCGAGGCAAAGUAAAGCACGCGAAGGCAGAGACGACUCGAUUCCCUUGAUCCAACGGCACAGCGUUCUCUGUGUCACGUGCUUCUGUAUUUUACUUUUUCCCGCUUUUUCGGCUUUCUCGCUCGACCGUAUUACGUUGUAACGGCACUUUAGUUAAUUACCUUGGAGCACCAAUGGAACCAACCCUCCACUGUACGCCCACUCUUUAUGCAUAUCCCUCUCUACUUCGUUUCUCCUUCGAGUGGUUUUCGAUACUCUUCACUUUGUACUGUCCCCGAUAAUUCUACUCCGUGAAGCACGAUUCCAGACAGGUAAAUACGAAAUACAAGAAAAGAAAAAUAUAUGUAUAUAAAUACAAAAUACAUAUAUGUAUAAAAAUAUAGAUUUUUCUUUGGCAUUUUUCCCAAAGGUCUUACCUCUACCUCUUCGGGCCUUAUCGUUCCGGUGACUCGCUUUCUUUAAUUUUCCAUUUGUCGUUCCACUUUCCGCUUUCUUUGUUCCAUCCUAGUAGCAAUCUAAAAUAAACAUCUUGGAUGGUAC
Molecule: unclassified non-coding RNA, 1505 nt
Filed under: Bombus terrestris (buff-tailed bumblebee)
Lineage: Eukaryota; Metazoa; Arthropoda; Insecta; Hymenoptera; Apidae
Description: misc RNA ENSBTSG00005025420.1
Source: RNAcentral